CGCGGCAAGACGGAAAGACCCCGUGAACCUUUACUAUAGCUUGACACUGAACAUUGAGCCUUGAUGUGUAGGAUAGGUGGGAGGCUUUGAAGUGUGGACGCCAGUCUGCAUGGAGCCGACCUUGAAAUACCACCCUUUAAUGUUUGAUGUUCUAACGUGGACCCGUGAUCCGGGUUGCGGACAGUGUCUGGUGGGUAGUUUGACUGGGGCGGUCUCCUCCUAAAGAGUAACGGAGGAGCACGAAGGUUGGCUAAUCCUGGUCGGACAUCAGGAGGUUAGUGCAAUGGCAUAAGCCAGCUUGACUGCGAGCGUGACGGCGCGAGCAGGUGCGAAAGCAGGUCAUAGUGAUCCGGUGGUUCUGAAUGGAAGGGCCAUCGCUCAACGGAUAAAAGGUACUCCGGGGAUAACAGGCUGAUACCGCCCAAGAGUUCAUAUCGACGGCGGUGUUUGGCACCUCGAUGUCGGCUCAUCACAUCCUGGGGCUGAAGUAGGUCCCAAGGGUAUGGCUGUUCGCCAUUUAAAGUGGUACGCGAGCUGGGUUUAGAACGUCGUGAGACAGUUCGGUCCCUAUCUGCCGUGGGCGCUGGAGAACUGAGGGGGGCUGCUCCUAGUACGAGAGGACCGGAGUGGACGCAUCACUGGUGUUCGGGUUGUCAUGCCAAUGGCACUGCCCGGUAGCUAAAUGCGGAAGAGAUAAGUGCUGAAAGCAUCUAAGCACGAAACUUGCCCCGAGAUGAGUUCUCCCUGAGACUUUAGGUCUCCUGAAGGAACGUUGAAGACGACGACGUUGAUAGGCCGGGUGUGUAAGCGCAGCGAUGCGUUGAGCUAACCGGUACUAAUGAACCGUGAGGCUUAACCUUACAACGCCGAAG
This 872-nucleotide ribosomal RNA is filed under the name Salmonella enterica subsp. enterica serovar Saintpaul. Its description in RNAcentral is "partial 23S ribosomal RNA". It matches the Rfam family "Bacterial large subunit ribosomal RNA", at positions 2071 to 2925 of the family's 2925-position model. The record is from RNAcentral. Lineage: Bacteria; Pseudomonadati; Pseudomonadota; Gammaproteobacteria; Enterobacterales; Enterobacteriaceae.